CGGAUAUUGCGUAGCUCUCUUUGUGAAUAGCAAAAGUUACGUAGUGAAGGAAAGCCGAGGCGCCAUUGAAUUUUUCCGUUCAGUUUUUUCGUCUUUUUUGAGCUGGCAAAAUGAGUUGUUCUGCAGUAAACUGUUCUAACCGACCUGUUGGAGCUAAGGGAUCUUUGCAGUUUUUUUGGUAAGUAAAAAAGUGUGAUUUAUGUGUCAUUGGUUGGUUAAAGUCGUUAUCUAGCUAGCUAACACAUAAGCAGUCUAAGGUUAGCUGAAAUGUUGUAAAGCUAGGUUACUUAUCCGGCAUGAUUUAUCUUUUUAUUUUAUUUUUUAAAAUGAGCAAACCUAAUAACUGACAUGUUAUGUUUCUUGAUAUUGUUAUAUCGUUAUUGUGAUUGAAAUUGUAUUUAAAACCAAGAAUCGUAAUAUAAAAUCUGCUCAUAGAUGCGGUUCAUUGACUGUACAGUUAUUUUACAGCAAAAAUAAAUAAGUCUGGUGAGGUCUUAAAAAAGUAUCUAGGGCAAAAACAAAGUCAAAUAAUUGUAAUCUGUCCUGCAUCAUUACUAAUGUGUACAUGUUUACAGUCUGAGUGAUAAGUGGGCUAUACCGAGAGUAACAGGUUUUACUUUCACCGUGCAGGCUGAAAUUCAUAGGACUAUAUACGAGGGUAGAAUAUUUCUCUAUGUAUCCAGAUAAAACUAAAGGUGACCAUGAUGCAGCCAGACUGAAGCAGCACGUUGUGAAGGUGGACGCCAUCAUCUUGUCUUUGCAGCGCUGAUUCUGAAGAGAACGCCUUCACAUAGGACUCAAAGGAAAUCAGUGCUCAAAGGAAACAGCAGUCCAGACUCUGAUUCCAGCUCUGGUGAGGUUCUGCACACA
This is a long non-coding RNA of Labrus mixtus (cuckoo wrasse), 870 nucleotides long. RefSeq lists it as uncharacterized. The record is from RefSeq and is a predicted model, not a curated record. Lineage: Eukaryota; Metazoa; Chordata; Actinopteri; Labriformes; Labridae. The transcript has 3 exons.